CACCAAACCCUAGCCAUUUCACAACAAUAGCUGCAUAACUUCUCCUCUCUCUACCUUCUCUCUACGCUUUCCCUCUUCUCUAUUCCUUUUUUCCGCCGUCUAAGCACCGUUGAACGAAUAGCAACAUCGGCCGACCACCGCCGCCAGAAGACAACAGCCCCAACGCCGGCAGCCAUGCCAUCACACCAACCAUGCCAUCACACCGACGAUGCCACCAGCGGAUCCAACCCCCAAAACCAACCAUCUACUGCCGUCAUCGCUAUCAACGCCGACGAAACCAUCUGAGAUGCCGGCCAGCCGCCACCUAGCCACCGUCAAACCCGAACCAGACGCUGGAUUCUCCUCUUCAUCACAUGCAGCAGCCGCUGCUUCCUCCUCUCUGUCGCCGCCGCCACUGUCCAUUUUGUGAGGGGCUUUCAAAAACUCAUCCUCAUGUUUGACCAAAUGUUUAAAUGUUUGUGUUUGAUUUUAAUUAUAAUCUACCCCUUUUUCGUUAGACAGUUUUUUGAUAUUAAAUCGGUAAAAUUUGACUUUGACUUACUAAUUGAUUCUUUCCAAUUCGUGUUUGUUCAUGUCUCUAGAUUGAUAUAUGUGAAAAGCCCUAAAUUUUAUGGACUUUGAUUAAACCCCAAAUUUUCUACUAGUUGAUAUUUUAGUGAUUUUACAAUUCCGGACAAUUUUUAUUGAAUGUUGACAUUUUUUGAUAUGUAAUUGUUGAUAUUUGGCCAUUUUUGAUUUCUAGUAUUACGAUGAAAUGAGAUUGACUCAAGUGGUGGAAAUAUCUCAAUAUAUCCUUUGUUCACUGAUUUGCCUCCUUGAUUUUUAUUUUUCUAUUUAUGGUAAUUUUUUAUCUGUUUAUUUUAAUUGUGAUUGAUGGUAUUGAUUUAAAGAAAGUAUGUCAUUUAACUGAUUUUCUUGCCUUCCGUUUUAAUGGAAUAUUGAUCAUUUAUUAUAACAAAUUUUUCUUCUCUUAAUUGGAUUUGAUUAAGAUAAUCAAGGAAAAGAUUUUGUUGUGAUUUUUUAUGGAAUACCUUGAUCGGAAUUGAUUUUAGUUGCUUGAUUGAUAAUUGACCCCUUUCGUUAAGGAAAGAUUCUUCCUUAAUUGAUUUAUCAGAUAUUAUCUUCCUUUUAUUUUCUCUACUCUUUUGCAAUAUAACUUCCCCUCUUUCAAUCGUCAGAGAUCUCUCAUUAUCCUCUCAUACACUUCUACACUUCUACACUCUUCUACACUACACUUGAGUGUGUAAUUUUAUUUGCUGCUUUUACUUUGGGAUUGCUGGUCCUUGUUUGUUCGUACGGCUGUUAUCCACUUUUGAACAUCCAAUAUUCUUUUGUUAUUGUGCUGUUAAUCGGUUAGUUCUCUUGAACGAUGCAUGAAGUUUCUUUUAUGUUAUUCUAGAUGACUAUGACCUCACUUUGAUUUACUUACUUUAAAUGUUUGAUGACAUGAGCCUUCUAUUCAUUUUUGUGUAAUUAUUUCAUUACUUAUUGGGAUGGUCAUGUUAUUUGCUUUUGUUAAUAUGGCAAGUUUUGCCCUGCUGUUAAAUGUUUUCCCCAGUAGAAUGUUUGUUGUUUGUGAAUCUGAAAUAAUCUUUACGUGUCACAUAACCCCUUAGGAUCUUGACAGCGCCAAGGACUGGUGUUGUGUUGCCAAAGAUAUAUUUCGAAUUUGGGCUGUGUUUUUGUGUUUUGCUUGUGCUCACAGAUUAAAGCCGAACGGUUCAACAAGACAAGAGUUGCCAUGAAUUUUUGAGGGUCGCUGAGGGCUAUCCAAUCUAGCUCUUCUUAGUCUUUCAUUUAAUUCAUUCAUUGUUGGUCUGUAACUUAUUGUACAAAUACUGAUAUAAUAAUAUUUAUGAGACUGCUUGGGGUGGGGAUUUAUGUACUACGUGAAUCACCUAGGCAAAAGAAUAAUCUAGGACUAACGAUAAACUUGCGUGGUCACAUAGAAAGUAUUCUUUAAAAUUACUUUUCAGCAUAUAAAUGUUAAACUCCAGCAUGUUAAUUUACCUUUCAGCGUUAUAAAAAAUGCAUUUUCAGCAUGUUAAUGAACUUUUCAGUAUUAAGAGUGUUUGUAGUAAUUUUCCACGUUUGUAAUUUCUUACAGUCAUUAGCUUAUAACAUGUUUUACACAAAAUUAACAAGCAAAAUGCUUCAACGUAUUUACUUUAUUUCGACAUAUUUUAUCUUUAAAAACUUUACAACAUUAUUUUUAAUGGUUUGACAAUUACUUUUAAUCAAUAAACACGUACUUUUCACUUAGACAUUAUGCUUAACUAUCUUUUACACAAUAAAUUAAUAUUCUUUUUCUUUCACACUUGUUUAACUUUGACAUGUCUUCUCAUGAAUUUUUGCCACAUUGUCAUAAAUGUUUUGACAGUUACUUUUCAAUAAACAAUUGUUGAACACUUAGAUAUCAUGCCUAUAGAUUAAUGACACAAAAAUAAGUUAAUUAUUUGUCUUUGUAUGUUAAUCACAUUAAUCUCUUUAAUAACCAAGAGGUUAACUUGGGAUCAUUAUGUGCUAAGUGACGUCCAAUGUAUUCGCUUGUUAUGUGCUAAGUGACGUCCAAUGUAUUCGCUUGUGUCUUAGGGAAAAUAUAACUUUAUUUUUGUCUAGACCACAAAACCAUAAUACCUCUUGGAUGAUAGGUGGGAUGAGAGGUAUUACUAAAGAUGCUAGUUUUAUCCUUUAUUUUUAGAGCGUCUUUAGGAUAACAACCAGCCUAGAUGGGGUGGGACGAGUAGUCAUUUGGAAGUGAUGAUCUCUAGAGAUAUUACACGACAUUUGAAAUUGUCACUUGUUUAAGAAUUCAUCCAGUGGGUCAGAUAAGGAAUAAACAAGUUGGGGUUCGGAGUUGAAUGAGAUAAAAACGUUUCUUUAUCUGAUUUGACGAAUUCUUUCUUACUCUUUUAUUUACUUUACAUAUUUAUUUAUUUGGGGUAGUCAGUUUAUUACAUAAGUAGUUACCUUUGUUAUAA
This 2981-nucleotide long non-coding RNA is filed under the name Capsicum annuum. RNAcentral's name for it is "long non-coding RNA (CANN_LNC014428)". The record is from RNAcentral. Lineage: Eukaryota; Viridiplantae; Streptophyta; Magnoliopsida; Solanales; Solanaceae.